This 449-nucleotide ribosomal RNA is filed under the name uncultured prokaryote. RNAcentral describes it as "bacterial SSU rRNA". It matches the Rfam family "Bacterial small subunit ribosomal RNA", at positions 355 to 796 of the family's 1533-position model. The record is from RNAcentral.
UAGGGAAUAUUGCGCAAUGGGGGAAACCCUGACGCAGCAACGCCGCGUGGAGGAUGAAGGCCUUCGGGUCGUAAACUUCUGUCAGAUGGGAAGAAAAAGCUUGGGUCAAUAGCCCAAGCCCUUGACGGUACCAUCAGAGGAAGCCCCGGCUAACUCCGUGCCAGCAGCCGCGGUAAUACGGAGGGGGCAAGCGUUAUUCGGAUUUAUUGGGCGUAAAGGGCGCGUAGGCGGCCGAGUAAGUUGAAGGUGAAAUCCCACGGCUCAACCGUGGAACUGCCUUCGAUACUGCUUGGCUAGAGUUCGGGAGGGGGUAGUGGAAUUCCUAGUGUAGCGGUGAAAUGCGUAGAUAUUAGGAGGAACACCAGUGGCGAAGGCGACUACCUGGACCGAUACUGACGCUGAAGCGCGAAAGCAUGGGGAGCAAACAGGAUUAGAUACCCCCGUAGUCC